This 216-nucleotide ribosomal RNA is filed under the name Glomeromycotina sp. RNAcentral describes it as "partial small subunit ribosomal RNA". The stretch from base 75 to 216 matches the Rfam family "Eukaryotic small subunit ribosomal RNA", at positions 721 to 864 of the family's 1831-position model. Lineage: Eukaryota; Fungi; Glomeromycota. The record is from RNAcentral.
GGGUCAGUAGGUUGGUCGUGCCACCGGUACGUACUGGUCUCACUGAUACCUCCUUCCUGAAGAACCGUAAUGCCAUUAAUUUGGUGUUGCGGGGAAACAGGACUGUUACUUUGAAAAAAUUAGAGUGUUUAAAGCAAGCUAACGCUUGAAUACAUUAGCAUGGAAUAAUGAAAUAGGACGAUCGAUCCUAUUUUGCUGGUUUCUAGGAUUGACGUA